UAUUUUGGCUUAAAAGCUAGCUAAAUGUUUGUGUUUAUAUAUAAGGCAUAUUGAUUUUAUAGGGGGUUUUGUAGUAUGUAGUUUUAAGUAUUAGGGGGUCCUAGACUUGGUAAUUUAUUUUAGUACGAACAAAAUUUGUGCCAGCAGUAGCGGUUAUACAAAUUGUGCAAGGUAAUUUGAUCGAGUAUAGUUAGGAGGAGAAAGAAGAAGGGAGAGAAGGUUUUAUGGCGUUUUUAGGUGAAAUUUUAUAGCUGUAGGAAUUCUUAUUUUAGGUUUUGAUGCUGGGAUACUGGGUGUGAAACUAGGAUUAGAUACCCUGCUAUUCUCGGUGUUAGGUUUAUGCUUGAAUUAGUGUAAGUUAAGGUCUUUAAAAUUAAAAGAUUUGGCGGUAUUUUAGUCUGUUCAGAGGAACCUGUUAUUUAAUCGAUAGUCCACGAUGACAGCAAUCUUCUUUCUAAAUUUAUAUAUCGUCGUUUGUAAAAAUUUUAUUAGAAUAAUAAUUUUUAUUUUGUAAUAUAAUAGCUUAUUUCAGAUCAAGGUGUAGUUUAUAGGGAGAUUAUAAUGGGUUACAUUUUUUUUAUUACUGGUUGUUUGCUUUAAAAUUGAGGAUAAAUUGGAUUUGAUAGUAAGGUCUUUAUUUAGUGGAUUUGAUUUAGCUCUAAAAUAUGCACAUAUCGCCCGUCGCUUUCACUUUAAGGUGAAAUAAGUCGUAACAUAGUAGGCUUACUGGAAAGUGUGCCUGGAAUGG
This 748-nucleotide non-coding RNA is filed under the name Morphostenophanes yunnanus. The record is from RNAcentral. Lineage: Eukaryota; Metazoa; Arthropoda; Insecta; Coleoptera; Tenebrionidae.